Pelobates cultripes (western spadefoot toad) is the source of this 291-nucleotide non-coding RNA. NCBI's taxonomy places the organism in Eukaryota, Metazoa, Chordata, Amphibia, Anura, Pelobatidae. The record is from the annotation of a GenBank genome assembly.
CUGACACCCCUCCCAGGGUGAGGCAGGCUUUAUAUCUUGUUAAUUAGGUAUCAGAUUCAGCUGGAGAGUUACUGACAGAUCUGAGCCUUUGGUGAAGUCCAGCCCCCAAGUGCUGCAGGCAAUACAAGAAUAAACAUGAGUUAUCCAAAGUCCUAAAAUGGCUCAGAGGAAGAACGGCAGGAUACGGUCCAGAAGAACCACAGUUCAAAUCCAAUAUCAGGUGUUUCCGGAGCGACCACGUCUGGCAGACUAGAUGUCACGGCGUGAUCCGUGACAGUACCAUACUCCGAC